GAUGAUCAGCCACACUGGAACUGAAACACGGUCCAGACUCCUACGGGAGGCAGCAGUGGGGAAUAUUGGACAAUGGGCGAAAGCCUGAUCCAGCGACGCCGCGUGAGUGAUGAAGGCCUUCGGGUUGUAAAGCUCUGUUGAGGGAGAAGAAAACAGUUAGGGCGAAUAGGCCUAGCUCUUGACGGUAUCCCUUUAGAAAGCACCGGCUAACUCUGUGCCAGCAGCCGCGGUAAGACAGAGGGUGCAAACGUUGCUCGGAAUUACUGGGCGUAAAGCGCGUGUAGGCGGACCUGUAAGUUGGACGUGAAAGCCCUGGGCUCAACCCAGGAAUUGCAUCCAAAACUACAGGCCUAGAGUGAUGGAGAGGGCAGCAGAAUUCCUGGUGUAGAGGUGAAAUUCGUAGAUAUCAGGAGGAACACCGGUGGCGAAGGCGGCUGCCUGGACAUCAACUGACGCUGAGACGCGAAAGCGUGGGGAGCAAACAGGAUUAGAUACCCUGGUAGUCCACGCCGUAAACGAUGAGUGCUGGGUGUCGUGGGUUUUGACCCCCGCGGUGCCGUAGCUAACGCGU
This 571-nucleotide ribosomal RNA is filed under the name uncultured bacterium. RNAcentral's name for it is "bacterial SSU rRNA". It matches the Rfam family "Bacterial small subunit ribosomal RNA", at positions 299 to 860 of the family's 1533-position model. The record is from RNAcentral.